AACGAACGCUGGCGGCGUGCCUAACACAUGCAAGUCGAACGAGAAAGGGGCUUCGGCUCCGAGUAAAGUGGCGCACGGGUGAGUAACACGUGGGUAACCUGCCUCUAAGAUUGGGAUAACUCGUCGAAAGAUGAGCUAAUACCGAAUAAGACCACAGUUCCCGCGGGAACAGGGGUCAAAGGUAGCCUCUGCUUGCAAGCUAUCACUUAGAGAUGGGCCUGCGCACCAUUAGCUAGUUGGUAGGGUAACGGCCUACCAAGGCAAAGAUGGUUAGCUGGUCUGAGAGGAUGAUCAGCCACACUGGAACUGAGACACGGGCCAGACUCCUACGGGAGGCAGCAGUGGGGAAUAUUGCGCAAUGGGCGAAAGCUUGACGCAGCAACGCCGCGUGAGUGAUGAAGGCCUUCGGGUCGUAAAGCUCUGUCGGGAGGAACGAAUGCUCCUGAGGUUAACAGCCUCGGGAGGUGACGGUACCUGCAAAGGAAGCACCGGCUAACUCUGUG
Molecule: ribosomal RNA, 503 nt
Filed under: uncultured bacterium
Lineage: Bacteria
Description: partial 16S ribosomal RNA
Rfam family: Bacterial small subunit ribosomal RNA
Source: RNAcentral